Rhinopithecus roxellana (golden snub-nosed monkey) is the source of this 508-nucleotide long non-coding RNA. RefSeq lists it as uncharacterized. The transcript is spliced from 6 exons. The record is from RefSeq and is a predicted model, not a curated record. Lineage: Eukaryota; Metazoa; Chordata; Mammalia; Primates; Cercopithecidae.
GCUGCUCUCUGCAGUUACGAUGCUGCCCUGCCACUAUAGUCUCCCUCUGUAGUGAUCCAAUAUUCUACUAUAUAUCGGCAAAACUAUUCCAGCCCAGCCCUUUCAACUCUCCCGAAUCUAAGCCAACGACAGUCAAGCUACUAUGAAGACAUCAGGCGUAUGGAAAUAACAGAUGGGAAAGGCGAGAGGAGAUCAUUACUCUGAACUGUCUGGGAUGUCCCCGGGCAAUGCUAAGCUAACAUUCAGCAGUGUCUACAAGAUGACACACAAUAUGUUGAAAGAAUGGAGCGGUAAUUCCCUUGGAAGGACGUGAAAAGCUUUCCAAUCUCAAGGUGAUAUCAGAGCUCAUUCCCACUGAAACACUUGGAUGCUCUUUCUCCAGCUACCAUGCUCUUUUUUCCACUCAAGAAAGGAAGAGAAUGCAGGUUCCCACAGACACUGCAAGCCCCCUCAAGCUUAGGCAGUGGCCCUAACUCAGAUCUCUCUUCCUUCUAGAUCAACACAACUG